Myotis daubentonii (Daubenton's bat) is the source of this 2036-nucleotide long non-coding RNA. RefSeq lists it as uncharacterized. The record is from RefSeq and is a predicted model, not a curated record. NCBI's taxonomy places the organism in Eukaryota, Metazoa, Chordata, Mammalia, Chiroptera, Vespertilionidae.
AUCAGCCCUCAUUUUGUAAGAAAUAAUCAAUGGUACAAAUGCCUCAGAUCCAAACCCAUGUUCCAGGCCAUCCAGGAAGCCAGCACCAAGACAGCGAGGCGCUCUGAGACACCUGCUGGGCCUGUCCUACCUCACCAAUGGCUGCAACAAAUUCAGAAGCCAACUGCUUGACAUGGGGACCCUGCCCAGGCCAGUUGAGCACUUGGAAUGUGUCCCAGGUCCUGUCUGUCUCUGUAUGGGCCUUCAGUUUGUUCCCUAAGACUACUGCAGAUAUAGGUGAAAACCUUGUUUUUCCUUCCACACCCUCCCUUCCCCCAUGUGGGGAAAACUGUCAUGGGAACAGAUCACCAGACCGAGGUCGCCACUGAUGCAGGCAUGCUGUUCCAGCUCCUGAUAUACCCCAAGUCUUCCAUCCACAAGACAGCCUGGGCCCUGGCUUGUGCAAGCAGACCCAGGGAAAAUACCCCAAACUGAAAAUCUACCUCCCUAGACUGAAGAAAGAGGCUGGCCACUGCAGGCUGUGUGUUUCCAUGGGUCCCACCAGAGACCGAGCAGUUCUUCCCAUGCAGGAGCAUGAAGUACCUGACCCAUCCCAGUGGAAAGUCCCUUUACAGAUUCCGGUAAGUGUCUCUGUUCCAGGGACAAUAGGAUUUGGUGCCUUGAUAGCUUGUUGGCCCUGGCAAACAUCGGAUCUACUGCUAUGUCCUUUGUUUUCUACACCUUUUCCCUACUGGGUGCCUCAGGCUGAGUUCCCAGCCUGACGUGUGGAGAAGUGUGCCCACAGGGUGGUUAUUAAAUGUAUUAGUGGUUGGGAAAGCAGGUCUGUCCACCUGGCCCAAGUAGGUUUUCCAGUCCAUAACUUUGCUGUUUGAGGACACCAUUUUUCCGUCAGACCAACCCAGUUGCCUGUGGGUUAUACAGGAGAUGGAAUCGCCAUUCAGUAACUCUAUUGACCGGGUCACUAUAUUUUAAAGGCAGCCCUGCCUCUGUAGCGAUCCACCAUCCUAUUUGGGUACUAUGAUGUCCACUCUUCCGGUGUACCCAAUCUACAGGGUCAACUGACAGGUCAGUUGCUAAUGCAUGUAUUUUUGCCAAGUCAUCUGCCUCCUGGAGGUAGAGACACCUUCUGGACAAGGACAUGGAAAACAAGGUCUGCCUCAGACUCUUGCAAGUGAGUCCAAGUAUGUUUCUACAUCUAUUGUCUCCAUAAAUGCUUGCUCAUAAUUAUUUACUCCUCUGUUUCUACUGUCUAAGCCAGUGAUGGUGAACCUAUGACACGCGUGUCAGAGGUGACACGUGAACUCAUUUUUUUGGGGUUGAUUUUUCUUUGUUAAAUAGCAUUUAAAUAUAUAAAAUAAAUAUAAAAAAUAUAAGUCUUUGUUUUACUAUGGUUGCAAAUAUCAAAACAUUUCUAUAUGUGACACGGCACCAGAGUUAAGUUAGGGUUUUUCAAAAUGCUGACACGCCGAGCUCAAAAGGUUCGCCAUCACUGGUCUAAGCCAUAACCCAACUGGCUGCACACAGGAUCAGUGGCCAAGGUUCAGGUAUGAUCACCAACCAGACAGCUUGUCAAGCAGCCCAGGUAGUGUCAGUGGAUGGUUGGGUGGAAGCUGCCAUCUGGGUAGAGGGAUUACCCUGGCUGAGCCGUUGGUGUCCCAGGGCCCAGCUGGAAGUUUUCCUCUUCUUUUUGCAGGUUGCAGAGGUUGACACAGGGAUAGGAGCAGCAGUAUUUGGAAGGUAGUACUCCUAUGCUGCAGGAAUACUCGCCAUGUGGUCAGCAUAGGAGCCUGAGCCAUGGCAGAUGCAGUUCAGCGGAACAUGUUGUCAAUCCAGUUCUUGAUGGGAAGGGAAGUUCUGUAACUCGCUUCUCUUUGGAGGAAAAGUUAUCUUAAACUGCUUCAGAGGAUUCCAUGAAGAAGAGAGGAAGGCAGAGAGAGAGAAACAUCGAUCAGUUGCCUCUUGUACACACCGCGACAGGCGAUUGAACCUGCAACCUUUUAGUGUAUGGGACAACGCUCCAGCCAACUGAGCCACCC